Brachypodium distachyon (stiff brome) is the source of this 601-nucleotide long non-coding RNA. RefSeq lists it as uncharacterized. The record is from RefSeq and is a predicted model, not a curated record. The transcript has 3 exons. NCBI's taxonomy places the organism in Eukaryota, Viridiplantae, Streptophyta, Magnoliopsida, Poales, Poaceae.
AAAGAAUGGUUAUCUGAUUGGCUUUCGGGACAGCAGGGGUCAGUGGUACCGCUUUUCUGAUCAGGGUGCAUUCCCUGCUCAUGCAGAAGUAAUUCGUCACAUGACGUCAAGCUACUUUAGCCUCGUCGAUGAUUGGCAAGAUGUUGCUGUGUGACCACAAUCUGCAUUGGAUGCAUAUCACAUACUGCGAAACUUCAAUAACCGUCAGAUCCAACGGCGGGAACUCAGAAGAGGGCCUUAGUACGGCUCAUCAUAAUGCUAUGUGAAGCUGUACGGUUAAGGACAGUGAGAACUUUGGUAUCCCGACGAAUGGCCUUGUUCACUAAUGCACCUAUAGACCCUCUCACACGUAAAAAGAUCAGAAGCUGGUCCCUCAUGUCUGGCUUUGCUGGACAUUGUUGGAGGCGAGAGCAUGACGAAAUCAACGGGUAUGAGCAGAGCGAGCUCGAUAAACUUGCUCAAUGUCAAGUGUUCAGUCCAGAAGAAGUUGCCGGUGAUCCUAAUGGGGAACUGAUGCUCAUUCUCUACAGUAAGGUUCAUUUCGGAGGGAUUGAGUAGCCUGACUGGCAAGUGUGCAGAUAUAAGAAUACAAUCAGUCAAU